AUUGAACGCUGGCGGCAGGCCUAACACAUGCAAGUCGAACGAGUGGCGGACGGGUGAGUAAUGUCUGGGAAACUGCCUGAUGGCGGGGGAUAACUACUGGAAAAGGUAGAUAAUACCGCAUACCAUCGGAUGUGCCCCGAUGGGAGUAGCUAGUAGGGGGGGUAAAGGCUCACCUAGGCGACGAUCCCUAGCUGGUCUGAGAGGAGGACCAGCCACACUGGAACUGCAACACGGUCCAGACUCCUACGGGAGGCAGCAGUGGGGAAUAUUGCACAAUGGGCGCAAGCCUGAUGCAGCCAGGCCGCGUGUAUGAAGAAGGCCUUCGGGUUGUAAAGUACUUUCAGCGGGUAGGCGUUACCCGCAGAAGAAGCACCGGCUAACUCCGUGCCAGCAGCCGCGGUAAUUC
RNAcentral lists this ribosomal RNA (406 nucleotides) under uncultured bacterium. RNAcentral's name for it is "partial 16S ribosomal RNA". It matches the Rfam family "Bacterial small subunit ribosomal RNA", at positions 30 to 526 of the family's 1533-position model. The record is from RNAcentral.